GAUGAACGCUAGCGGGAGGCCUAACACAUGCAAGCCGAGCGGUAGAGAUCUUUCGGGAUCUUGAGAGCGGCGUACGGGUGCGGAACACGUGUGCAACCUGCCUUUAUCUGGGGGAUAGCCUUUCGAAAGGAAGAUUAAUACCCCAUAAUAUGUUGGAUGGCAUCAUUCGACAUUGAAAACUCCGGUGGAUAGAGAUGGGCACGCGCAAGAUUAGAUAGUUGGUGAGGUAACGGCUCACCAAGUCUGCGAUCUUUAGGGGGCCUGAGAGGGUGAUCCCCCACACUGGUACUGAGACACGGACCAGACUCCUACGGGAGGCAGCAGUGAGGAAUAUUGGACAAUGGGUGAGAGCCUGAUCCAGCCAUCCCGCGUGAAGGACGACGGCCCUAUGGGUUGUAAACUUCUUUUGUAUAGGGAUAAACCUACUCUCGUGAGAGUAGCUGAAGGUACUAUACGAAUAAGCACCGGCUAACUCCGUGCCAGCAGCCGCGGUAAUACGGAGGGUGCAAGCGUUAUCCGGAUUUAUUGGGUUUAAAGGGUCCGUAGGCGGAUCUGUAAGUCAGUGGUGAAAUCUCACAGCUUAACUGUGAAACUGCCAUUGAUACUGCAGGUCUUGAGUGUUGUUGAAGUAGCUGGAAUAAGUAGUGUAGCGGUGAAAUGCAUAGAUAUUACUUAGAACACCAAUUGCGAAGGCAGGUUACUAAGCAACAACUGACGCUGAUGGACGAAAGCGUGGGGAGCGAACAGGAUUAGAUACCCUGGUAGUCCACGCCGUAAACGAUGCUAACUCGUUUUUGGGCUUUCGGGUUCAGAGACUAAGCGAAAGUGAUAAGUUAGCCACCUGGGGAGUACGAACGCAAGUUUGAAACUCAAAGGAAUUGACGGGGGCCCGCACAAGCGGUGGAUUAUGUGGUUUAAUUCGAUGAUACGCGAGGAACCUUACCAAGGCUUAAAUGGGAAAUGACAGGUUUAGAAAUAGACUUCUCUUCGGACAUUUUUCAAGGUGCUGCAUGGUUGUCGUCAGCUCGUGCCGUGAGGUGUUAGGUUAAGUCCUGCAACGAGCGCAACCCCUGUCACUAGUUGCCAUCAUUAAGUUGGGGGCUCUAGUGAGACUGCCUACGCAAGUAGAGAGGAAGGUGGGGAUGACGUCAAAUCAUCACGGCCCUUACGCCUUGGGCCACACACGUAAUACAAUGGCCGGUACAGAGGGCAGCUACACAGCGAUGUGAUGCAAAUCUCGAAAGCCGGUCUCAGUUCGGAUUGGAGUCUGCAACUCGACUCUAUGAAGCUGGAAUCGCUAGUAAUCGCGCAUCAGCCAUGGCGCGGUGAAUACGUUCCCGGGCCU
Molecule: ribosomal RNA, 1345 nt
Filed under: uncultured bacterium
Lineage: Bacteria
Description: bacterial SSU rRNA
Rfam family: Bacterial small subunit ribosomal RNA
Source: RNAcentral